This 912-nucleotide long non-coding RNA is filed under the name Gossypium barbadense (sea-island cotton). RNAcentral's name for it is "long non-coding RNA (GBAR_LNC017978)". Lineage: Eukaryota; Viridiplantae; Streptophyta; Magnoliopsida; Malvales; Malvaceae. The record is from RNAcentral.
UUUUUCUGUUUUAAAACAAAAGAAAAGAAAAGGGGGUGCUCUGCUAGGUUUUCCUUAACCCAAACCCCCUCAACCGUCGCAACCACCUCAGCGACUUGAAGCCUCCCUCCGGCUUCGAUUCGGGAAGAGUCCGUCGUCUCCUCCACACAGGUAACUUUCUCCUUUUCUUUUCGUUUAUUUUUUAAAAGAAAAGAAUCAAUAGAAAAAUGAAACAAAAAACAGUAAAAACAAAAAAACAAAAAGAUCACCUUCAAACUUUUGCUUUUCUGAUUCUUUUACUUUCGUGUUUCCUUUUACUUUUCAAUAUAGUAUUUUGCUAACCCCUAUUACAGAAAUCCGUCGGCUUUUUAUAGCCAAAUCCUUUUACAAUUUUGCUGUAUAUUCGGUCCUAUUUGUGCUGUUCGUGGUUUAUUGCAGGUGCAUGAAAGACAGACGUGCGCGGCGUGGAAGGAGAACGUGCGACCUGUUGCGACAUCUGCGCGGAGGCUGUUUGCUACUGCGACAUUGAGGCGAAGGGGCAAGGGUUCUUUGAUUCUGUUAUGGGUUUAUUGGGCUAAUGUAAUUGGGCAACGUAAAUUAUGUUUUUAAAUGGACUGGAGACCUUUAUUUAUUUGGGCCCGGCCUAAAAUUGGGUAUUACAUUAGGGAUUUAUAAAAAAAUAUAUAAAUACACAAAUUAUCAUAUCUCACCAAUGUUACCAAUCGGCAAUAUUGCAUUCGGUGAGUAUUGGUGGUGCUGCUAGCUCAAUUUGUAUUAAGUUUUUUUAAUCAACAUCUAAAACCUAUAUUAAACUAGUAUACAAUGAAGUACCGUACAUAUUGGUCUUUAGAAUAUGUAAAUGUUGAGGGUUUAAUUUUUUAUUAUAUCAAUCAAAAUUAUGUAAAUUGAUGUAAAAUCUUAAUUUUAGUGGUU